GUGUUUUUCUCGCUGUGUUGGUGGAUCAUGACGAGAGGUCAUAAUUGGAAUAUUCUGAAGAAUUUAGCGAUAUUCGUACUGAUAUACACGUUCAAAUGUGGUUCUCUGAGACAUUCCAUUGCAGCUAAACCACCGAAAUAUUUAGAAUCUCGCCCCAGAUGGUCAGCGUCACAUCCGGCGAGCUUACGAGGACACCCUGAAUCAAGCACAAGCGAUCCGAAGGAAGGCGUCUGUAUAUCUUCUGAGACUCACCACACGCACCGAGAUAAAGGAAUAUUGCGAAUACCUUCAGUGCAACGUCCCGAACAACACUUUCGGCAUUCUAAACCUCGUCAUUCACAUGGGGAGAAGGGCCGUAAAUAUCAGCAGUACUCUGCA
Rhipicephalus sanguineus (brown dog tick) is the source of this 378-nucleotide long non-coding RNA. RefSeq lists it as uncharacterized. The transcript has 3 exons. NCBI's taxonomy places the organism in Eukaryota, Metazoa, Arthropoda, Arachnida, Ixodida, Ixodidae. The record is from RefSeq and is a predicted model, not a curated record.